AGAGUUUGAUCAUGGCUCAGAAUCAACGCUGGCGGCGCGCCUAACACAUGCAAGUCGAACGAGAAAGUGGAGCAAUCCAUGAGUACAGUGGCGUACGGGUGAGUAACACGUGGGUAAUCUACCUCUUUGUGUGGAAUAACCCUGGGAAACCGGGGCUAAUACCGCAUAAGCUCGAGAGAGGAAAGCAGCAAUGCGCUGAGAGAGGAGCCCGCGGCCGAUUAGCUAGUUGGCAGGGUAAAAGCCUACCAAGGCAAAGAUCGGUAGCCGGCCUGAGAGGGCACACGGCCACACUGGCACUGAAACACGGGCCAGACUCCUACGGGAGGCAGCAGUGGGGAAUCUUGCACAAUGGGGGAAACCCUGAUGCAGCGACGCCGCGUGAGCGAUGAAGCCCCUCGGGGUGUAAAGCUCUUUCGGCAGGGAAGAUUAUGACGGUACCUGCAGAAGCAGCUGCGGCUAACUACGUGCCAGCAGCCGCGGUAAUACGUAGGCAGCAAGCGUUGUUCGGAGUUACUGGGCGUAAAGGGUGUGUAGGCGGUCUUCUAAGUUUGGUGAGAAAUCUCCCGGCUCAACUGGGAGGGUGCGCCGAAUACUGAAAGACUAGAGUGCGGGAGAGGAUAGUGGAAUUCCUGGUGUAGCGGUGAAAUGCGUAGAUAUCAGGAGGAACACCGGUGGUGUAGACGGCUAUCUGGACCGUAACUGACGCUGAGACACGAAAGCGUGGGUAGCAAACAGGAUUAGAUACCCUGGUAGUCCACGCCCUAAACGAUGCAUAUUUGGUGUGGGCAGUUCAGUCUGUCCGUGCCGGAGCUAACGCGUUAAAUAUGCCGCCUGGGGAGUACAGUCGCAAGGCUGAAACUCAAAGGAAUUGACGGGGGCCCGCACAAGCGGUGAGCAUGUGGUUCAAUUCGACGCA
RNAcentral lists this ribosomal RNA (916 nucleotides) under uncultured bacterium. RNAcentral describes it as "bacterial SSU rRNA". It matches the Rfam family "Bacterial small subunit ribosomal RNA", at positions 8 to 958 of the family's 1533-position model. The record is from RNAcentral.